UUGAGCGAGAGAGAGACAUACGGUCGGGAAGACAGCAACAAAGACCAAGAGACUAAGAGACAGAGAGUCAGAGUCUCUGAGAACUGAGAAAAUGAUUCUCAUAGAGAACCAAUGAGUUGCAGAGGCUGAGAGAGGCAAAGGCGAUUAGGGUUCGAGCCGUUAGGCGCAGAGAAAUGAGAGAAUGAGAUGAUGAAGUAAUUAGGGUUUUCCAAUUUAUUUUUAUACUCAUGAAUCAUGAAAAACCACACACAUUUAUAACGUAAAACAAAAAAAUGACACACACUAACUAGACCAAAACAUGAAAACAACAUGACAUUCUCAAUAUAUGCGGGUACCCGCUAACCCGCGACCCAAAAUUUUAAAACCCGCGCCCGCCCCGCGUUCUAUCGGCGCCCAGUCAAGGUGACCCUAUGAAAGUCAAGAGGUAAUGAAGACCUAUAAGAUCUCCCAUCCGCAUGGCCCGCAACUUUAAAACUCAAUUUUUUUUGGAUCCGCACCCGCCCCGCAGCGGGCCUAAUGGGCCGGGCCCCGCGGAU
RNAcentral lists this long non-coding RNA (536 nucleotides) under Brassica napus (rape). RNAcentral's name for it is "long non-coding RNA (BNAP_LNC016260)". The record is from RNAcentral. Lineage: Eukaryota; Viridiplantae; Streptophyta; Magnoliopsida; Brassicales; Brassicaceae.